RNAcentral lists this ribosomal RNA (253 nucleotides) under uncultured bacterium. RNAcentral's name for it is "partial 16S ribosomal RNA". It matches the Rfam family "Bacterial small subunit ribosomal RNA", at positions 524 to 776 of the family's 1533-position model. The record is from RNAcentral.
UACGGAGGGUGCGAGCGUUGUCCGGAAUCACUGGGCGUAAAGGGCGCGUAGGCGGCCUGAUAAGUAGGGGGUGAAAUCCUGCGGCUUAACCGCAGGGCUGCCUUCUAAACUGUCAGGCUAGAGCACGGUAGAGGCAGAUGGAAUUCCCGGUGUAGCGGUGGAAUGCGUAGAGAUCGGGAAGAACACCCGUGGCGAAGGCGGCACUCUGGAACGGUACUGACGCUGAGACGCGAAAGCGUGGGGAGCGAACAGG